GAACGGGUGAGUAACACGUGAGUAACCUGCCCUUGACUCUGGGAUAAGCGUUGGAAACGACGUCUAAUACCGGAUACGAACCGCGAAGGCAUCUUCAGUGGUUGGAAAGAAUUUUGGUCAAGGAUGGACUCGCGGCCUAUCAGGUAGUUGGUGAGGUAAUGGCUCACCAAGCCUACGACGGGUAGCCGGCCUGAGAGGGUGACCGGCCACACUGGGACUGAGACACGGCCCAGACUCCUACGGGAGGCAGCAGUGGGGAAUAUUGCACAAUGGGCGAAAGCCUGAUGCAGCAACGCCGCGUGAGGGACGACGGCCUUCGGGUUGUAAACCUCUUUUAGCAGGGAAGAAGCGAAAGUGACGGUACCUGCAGAAAAAGCACCGGCUAACUACGUGCCAGCAGCCGCGGUAAUACGUAGGGUGCAAGCGUUGUCCGGAAUUAUUGGGCGUAAAGAGCUCGUAGGCGGUUUGUCGCGUCUGCUGUGAAAACUGGAGGCUCAACCUCCAGCCUGCAGUGGGUACGGGCAGACUAGAGUGCGGUAGGGGAGAUUGGAAUUCCUGGUGUAGCGGUGGAAUGCGCAGAUAUCAGGAGGAACACCGAUGGCGAAGGCAGAUCUCUGGGCCGUAACUGACGCUGAGGAGCGAAAGGGUGGGGAGCAAACAGGCUUAGAUACCCUGGUAGUCCACCCCGUAAACGUUGGGAACUAGAUGUGGGGACCAUUCCACGGUCUCCGUGUCGCAGCUAACGCAUUAAGUUCCCCGCCUGGGGAGUACGGCCGCAAGGCUAAAACUCAAAGGAAUUGACGGGGGCCCGCACAAGCGGCGGAGCAUGCGGAUUAAUUCGAUGCAACGCGAAGAACCUUACCAAGGCUUGACAUAUACGAGAACGCACGAGAGAUCGUGCACUCUUUGGACACUCGUAUACAGGUGGUGCAUGGUUGUCGUCAGCUCGUGUCGUGAGAUGUUGGGUUAAGUCCCGCAACGAGCGCAACCCUCGUUCUAUGUUGCCAGCACGUAAUGGUGGGAACUCAUGGGAUACUGCCGGGGUCAACUCGGAGGAAGGUGGGGACGACGUCAAAUCAUCAUGCCCCUUAUGUCUUGGGCUUCACGCAUGCUACAAUGGCCAGUACAAAGGGCUGCAAUACCGUAAGGUGGAGCGAAUCCCAAAAAGCUGGUCCCAGUUCGGAUUGAGGUCUGCAACUCGACCUCAUGAAGUCGGAGUCGCUAGUAAUCGCAGAUCAGCAACGCUGCGGUGAAUACGUUCCCGGGCCUUGUACACACCGCCCGUCAAGUCAUGAAA
This 1297-nucleotide ribosomal RNA is filed under the name Mycetocola sp. RNAcentral's name for it is "bacterial SSU rRNA". It matches the Rfam family "Bacterial small subunit ribosomal RNA", at positions 100 to 1409 of the family's 1533-position model. The record is from RNAcentral. Lineage: Bacteria; Bacillati; Actinomycetota; Actinomycetes; Micrococcales; Microbacteriaceae.